UGGGGAAUUUUGGACAAUGGGCGAAAGCCUGAUCCAGCAAUGCCGCGUGUGUGAAGAAGGCCUUCGGGUUGUAAAGCACUUUUGUCCGGAAAGAAAUCCUUGGCUCUAAUACAGUCGGGGGGAUGACGGUACCGGAAGAAUAAGCACCGGCUAACUACGUGCCAGCAGCCGCGGUAAUACGUAGGGUGCAAGCGUUAAUCGGAAUUACUGGGCGUAAAGCGUGCGCAGGCGGUUUGCUAAGACCGAUGUGAAAUCCCCGGGCUCAACCUGGGAACUGCAUUGGUGACUGGCAGGCUAGAGUAUGGCAGAGGGGGGUUAGAAUUCCACGUGUAGCAGUGAAAUGCGUAGAGAUGUGGAGGAAUACCGAUGGCGAAGGCAGCCCCCUGGGCCAAUACUGACGCUCAUGCACGAAAGCGUGGGGAGCAAACAGGAUUAGAUACCCUGGUAGUCCACGCCCU
Molecule: ribosomal RNA, 458 nt
Filed under: uncultured bacterium
Lineage: Bacteria
Description: partial 16S ribosomal RNA
Rfam family: Bacterial small subunit ribosomal RNA
Source: RNAcentral